AUCCUUCAAGGACAUCCGAUAAAAUUAGAAUGAUACAGAGACGAUUAGCAUAGGCCCUAUGCAAGGAUGACACGCAUAAAUUGAGAAAUUGUCCAAAUUUUU
This is a small nuclear RNA of Rosa chinensis, 102 nucleotides long. NCBI's taxonomy places the organism in Eukaryota, Viridiplantae, Streptophyta, Magnoliopsida, Rosales, Rosaceae. The record is from RefSeq and is a predicted model, not a curated record.